RNAcentral lists this long non-coding RNA (382 nucleotides) under Nicotiana benthamiana. RNAcentral's name for it is "long non-coding RNA (NBEN_LNC025138)". Lineage: Eukaryota; Viridiplantae; Streptophyta; Magnoliopsida; Solanales; Solanaceae. The record is from RNAcentral.
GCAGCACUGGAUGUCCCAUUUGUUCUUGUACAAGGUCACCACUGUACUCCACCUCCACUCCUCCGGCAUCCUUUUGGUCCUGAAGAUCACAUUGAACAACCUGGAGAGCCACUCCACUCCUGACCUACCCAUGCACUUCCAGAAUUCCACUGGGAUCUCGUCAAGUCCGGUCGCUCGACCCCUACUCAUCUUAUUCAAAGCCCUCAUGACCUCCUCCGCCCUAAUGCGACAGCAGUACCCAAGGUCUCUAUGUAGCUCUGAAUGCCCCAACUCACCUAGCUCUAUGUUACGAUCCCCCUCUUCGUUAAGUAAGUCUCGAAAGUACGCCUGCCACCUCUGCUUGACUUGAGACUCCCCUAUCAGAACUCUACCAUCCUCGCCC